UACGUAGGUGGCAAGCGUUGCCCGGAAUUAUUGGGCGUAAAGCGCGCGCAGGCGGUUCUUUAAGUCUGAUGUGAAAGCCCACGGCUCAACCGUGGAGGGUCAUUGGAAACUGGAGAACUUGAGUACAGAAGAGUAAAGCGGAAUUCCACGUGUAGCGGUGAAAUGCGUAGAGAUGUGGAGGAACACCAGUGGCGAAGGCGGCUUUCUGGUCUGUAACUGACGCUGAGGCGCGAAAGCGUGGGGAGCAAACAGG
This 253-nucleotide ribosomal RNA is filed under the name uncultured bacterium. RNAcentral's name for it is "partial 16S ribosomal RNA". It matches the Rfam family "Bacterial small subunit ribosomal RNA", at positions 524 to 776 of the family's 1533-position model. The record is from RNAcentral.